This is a long non-coding RNA of Sapajus apella (tufted capuchin), 146 nucleotides long. RefSeq lists it as uncharacterized. Lineage: Eukaryota; Metazoa; Chordata; Mammalia; Primates; Cebidae. The record is from RefSeq and is a predicted model, not a curated record. The transcript has 4 exons.
ACUCUUUUAGAGGUCCUGCCAAGGUGGUCUUGAGUAAGAUUCUGGAGAAUUCCCUAGAUUACCAGGCAGGCUCUUGUUCUCUUCCCUUACUUUCCCCCAAACAAAUGGAGUCUCUCUGUCUGUGCUGAGCUGCCUGAGCUGGGGGA